RNAcentral lists this long non-coding RNA (902 nucleotides) under Olea europaea (common olive). Its description in RNAcentral is "long non-coding RNA (OEUR_LNC005579)". Lineage: Eukaryota; Viridiplantae; Streptophyta; Magnoliopsida; Lamiales; Oleaceae. The record is from RNAcentral.
CCUGCAUCAAAGCUCAAACAAGAGUCCUAUAGGAUAAGGCAUUGUCAUUUCCAAAUAGGAUUUACACAAGAAAGUGGAAAAGAAUCAAAAGUUAAAUGGUUAAGGUCCCCUUUGGCAUCGCUUCUGAAAAGCCAAAAGGAGCUUUUGACACCCAAAAGCUAGUUUUGAACUUGUAUAAAAGUGCUUCUGAUAGUUAGAAGAGCUGUUAAAAGAGGUUAGUCCAAUGUGGUUUCCUCUAAAAACAAAUCCGAAAUAGGAAGCUCUUCGAAAAAUUAUUUCUAAACAAAAAUUGAGGUAACUUCUUUUUUUUGUGGAAGAAAUUUGUCAAGGGAAGGAUCCCAGAUUGAUUUAUCAAAUCCACGAGGAGCAAUCAGCAAUUUUUCCCUGCACCAAAGCUCAAACAAGAGUCCUAUAGGAUAAGGCAUUGUCAUUUCCAAAUAGGAUUUACACAAGAAAGUGUAAAAGAAUCAAAAGUUAAAUGGUUAAGGUCCCCUUUGGCAUCGCUUCUGAAAAGCCAAAAGGAGCUUUUGACACCCAAAAGCUAGUUUUGAACUUGUCUGGCUAAUUUUAUAAAAGUGCUUCUGAUAGUUAGAAGAGCUGUUAAAAGAGGUUAGUCCAAUGUGGUUUCCUCUAAAAACAAAUCCGAAAUAGGAAGCUCUUCGAAAAAUUAUUUCUAAACAAAAAUUGAGGUAACUUCUUCCAAAAACUCUUCCACAAGAAGCAGUAGCAAAAAGCAAAAGCCACGUCAAACGGACCCUAAGUAGCUUUUAUGUCAUUGCAUUAAGUUUAUUCCAUCACUGGAAGGAGUUCAUGAACAGACAGAGAGAGAGGCAGGAAGACUAAUAAGAUGAUAGGUUGACUUAACAAUCCAAUUUUCAGAAAUUCCAUAAGAAGCAAACAUA